CCGUCUUUUGCCAUAGCUCGAUCAGUUCAGCCUUCUCGUCUUCUGAUCUUGAGCCGGAUACACCACGCCUCGCGCGCGGUAGUAUGAGACAAGAUCGAACCCCAGGCAAUGCUCUUUGAGUACGUAACCUUCUGAUUCUAUGUGAAGGCUUGCGUAAUUUAUCUGUUGUCACAUCU
Molecule: small nucleolar RNA, 176 nt
Organism: Colletotrichum salicis
Lineage: Eukaryota; Fungi; Ascomycota; Sordariomycetes; Glomerellales; Glomerellaceae
Source: Rfam